AGGUGCACACGGAGUUGAACCUUGGACCUAUCGAUCUACUGUCGAUUGCUCUACCACUGAGCUAUACCC
RNAcentral lists this transfer RNA (69 nucleotides) under Caligus rogercresseyi. RNAcentral's name for it is "tRNA-Tyr". The record is from RNAcentral. Lineage: Eukaryota; Metazoa; Arthropoda; Copepoda; Siphonostomatoida; Caligidae.